UUCGUUUUGGAAAGAAUAAAAAAGCCUUUGAUGAACAAGAAUUCAGGCAAGAUAUGAGUCAAUUUGGUG
This 69-nucleotide small RNA is filed under the name Staphylococcus aureus. RNAcentral describes it as "5'UTR". The record is from RNAcentral. Lineage: Bacteria; Bacillati; Bacillota; Bacilli; Caryophanales; Staphylococcaceae.